CGGACAGUGGCGGACNNUUGANNAACACAUGGGAACAUGCCUUUCGGUNAGGAACAACGCCUGGAAACGGGUGCUAAUACCUUAUACGCCCUCAGGGGGAAAGAUUUAUCGCCGAGAGAUUGGCCCGCGUUAGAUUAGCUAGUUGGUGAGGUAAUGGCUCACCAAGGCUACGAUCUAUAGCUGGUUUGAGAGGAUGAUCAGCCACACUGGGACUGAGACACGGCCCAGACUCCUACGGGAGGCAGCAGUGGGGAAUAUUGGACAAUGGGGGCAACCCUGAUCCAGCGAUGCCGCGUGAGUGAUGAAGGCCUUAGGGUUGUAAAACUCUUUCAGGUGGGAAGAUAAUGACGGUACCACCAGAAGAAGCUCCGGCUAACUCCGUGCCAGCAGCCGCGGUAAUACGGAGGGAGCUAGCGUUGUUCGGAAUUACUGGGCGUAAAGCGCGCGUAGGCGGCUUAGCAAGUUGGGGGUGAAAUCCCGGGGCUUAACCUCGGAACUGCCUCCAAAACUGCUGAGCUAGAAUCCUGGAGAGGUGAGCGGAAUUCCUAGUGUAGAGG
Molecule: ribosomal RNA, 557 nt
Filed under: uncultured bacterium
Lineage: Bacteria
Description: bacterial SSU rRNA
Rfam family: Bacterial small subunit ribosomal RNA
Source: RNAcentral